UUAAAUGCAUGCUGAUAUGACAGCCGUCCCAAUACAAUCUAAGAAAAGUGUUUUGAAUGAAGUUAAAGACAAUGAAGCGCUACUAGAGCCAUUGUAUGGAAAAAAACUUAACGAACUGUUUGGCCAACACAGUAUAAGUAAUAAUGCUGACCUAGUAAAAUGAGCUUGGGAGCCUAUCUUCCUCUUGAAUUUUUGGGGACUAGUUUGAGAAGGAGAGGCAUUAGUUCUUCUUUGAGUAUUUGGUAAAAGUCUCCUGUGAACCCAUCCAGUCCAGGACUAUUGUUUGCUGGGAGUUUUUUUUUUUUUUCAUUAUUAUUACUGCUUCAAUUUCACUAGUUGUAUUGUUCUAUUCAGAUUUUCUGAUUCUUUCUGAUUCAGUUGUGGAAGACUGUAUAUUUCUAGGAAUUUAUCCAUUUCACUGAGGUCAUCUAAUUUGUUGGCACACGAGAUCUGUCCGUAAGGUAUCCAGCCAUGCAAUGUGAAAAAAUAGAGACAUUUAUUGAAGAAGAUACAAGAUACAAAAAAAAAAAACAUUGUACACAGGAAAAUGACACCUCAGUCCACUUCAAAGUAUGCAUCUUGGGACUUCAGACUGUUCCCCCAAUCCCUAUCAGCUGCCCCGUUGUAUUUUCCUGAAUUUCAUUGACAGU
Phyllostomus discolor (pale spear-nosed bat) is the source of this 650-nucleotide long non-coding RNA. RefSeq lists it as uncharacterized. NCBI's taxonomy places the organism in Eukaryota, Metazoa, Chordata, Mammalia, Chiroptera, Phyllostomidae. The record is from RefSeq and is a predicted model, not a curated record. The transcript has 3 exons.